AAUCAACGCUGGCGGCGUGCCUCAGACAUGCAAGUCGAACGAGAAAGUUCCCUUCGGGGAAUAAGUAAAGUGGCGCACGGGUGAGUAACACGUAGGUAAUCUACCUUCGGGUGGGGAAUAACCCAGGGAAACUUGGGCUAACACCGCAUAAUGCAGCGGCACCACAUGGUGACAGUUGUUAAAGCGGGGGAGUUUUCGGUACCUCGCGCCUGAAGAGGAGCCUGCGGCAGAUUAGCUAGUUGGUAAGGUAACGGCUUACCAAGGCGACGAUCUGUAGCCGGCCUGAGAGGGCGGUCGGCCACACUGACACUGACAUACGGGUCAGACUCCUACGGGAGGCAGCAGUCGGGAAUUUUGGGCAAUGGGCGAAAGCCUGACCCAGCAACGCCGCGUGAAGGAUGAAAUCCCUCGGGAUGUAAACUCCUGUCGAGCGGGAAGAACGCCUCGUGGGCGAAUAGCCU
RNAcentral lists this ribosomal RNA (461 nucleotides) under uncultured bacterium. RNAcentral's name for it is "bacterial SSU rRNA". It matches the Rfam family "Bacterial small subunit ribosomal RNA", at positions 32 to 470 of the family's 1533-position model. The record is from RNAcentral.